Molecule: ribosomal RNA, 253 nt
Filed under: uncultured bacterium
Lineage: Bacteria
Description: partial 16S ribosomal RNA
Rfam family: Bacterial small subunit ribosomal RNA
Source: RNAcentral
GACGAACCGUGCGAACGUUGUUCGGAAUCACUGGGCUUAAAGGGCGCGUAGGCGGGUCGGAAAGUCCGCGGUGAAAUCCCCCCGCUCAACGGGGGAACGGCCGCGGAUACUGCCGGCCUCGAGGGGGGUAGGGGCGAGCGGAACGCUGGGUGGAGCGGUGAAAUGCGUUGAUAUCCAGCGGAACUCCGGUGGCGAAGGCGGCUCGCUGGACCUUCACUGACGCUGAGGCGCGAAGGUCAGGGGAGCAAACGGG